This 497-nucleotide ribosomal RNA is filed under the name uncultured bacterium. RNAcentral's name for it is "partial 16S ribosomal RNA". It matches the Rfam family "Bacterial small subunit ribosomal RNA", at positions 28 to 507 of the family's 1533-position model. The record is from RNAcentral.
GAUGAACGCUGGCGGCGUGCCUAAUACAUGCAAGUCGAGCGAACGGACGAGAAGCUUGCGUCGCUGAUGUUAGCGGCGGACGGGUGAGUAACACGUGUAUAACCUACCUAUAAGACUGAUAUAACUUGGGGAAACCGGAUCUAAUACCAGAGAAUAUUUUGAACCGCAUGGGUCGAAAGUGAACGACGGUCUUGCUGGAACUUAUAGAUGGAUCCGAGCUGUAUUAGAUAGUUGGUAAGUUAAUAGCUUAGCAAGGCAACGAUGCAUAGACGAAGUGACAGGGGGAUCGCCCACACGGGAACUGAGCCACGCACAUGAGUACUACGGGAGGACGCAGUAGGCAAUCUUCCGCAGUGGGCGAAAGUAUGACGGAGUAACGCCGCGUGAGUGAUGACGGUGUUCCGUUCGUAAAACUGUCUUAUUAGGGAAGAACCGCUGUCUCAGGAAAUGUGGCCAUCGUGACGGUAACUAAUCAGAAAGCACCGGCUAACUACGUG